This 663-nucleotide ribosomal RNA is filed under the name uncultured Eubacteriales bacterium. Its description in RNAcentral is "bacterial SSU rRNA". It matches the Rfam family "Bacterial small subunit ribosomal RNA", at positions 60 to 730 of the family's 1533-position model. Lineage: Bacteria; Bacillati; Bacillota; Clostridia; Eubacteriales. The record is from RNAcentral.
CGAUGAGACUUUAACAGAACCCUUCGGGGCGAAGAUAGAGCGGAUUAGCGGCGGACGGGUGAGUAACACGUGAGUAACCUGCCUUAGACAUUGGGAUAGCCUCGGGAAACCGGGAUUAAUACCAAAUAAAAUCAUAAUGACACAUGUCAUAACGAUCAAAACUCCGGUGGUCUAAGAUGGACUCGCGUCCCAUUAGCUAGUUGGUAGAGUAAAAGCCUACCAAGGCGACGAUGGGUAGCCGGCCUGAGAGGGUGAACGGCCACAUUGGAACUGAGAAACGGUCCAAGCUCCUACGGGAGGCAGCAGUGGGGAAUAUUGCACAAUGGAGGGAACUCUGAUGCAGCGACGCCGCGUGAACGAAGAAGGCUUUCGAGUCGUAAAGUUCUUUUAUAUGGGAAGAUAAUGACGGUACCAUAAGAAAAAGCCCCGGCUAACUACGUGCCAGCAGCCGCGGUAAUACGUAGGGGGCUAGCGUUGUCCGGAAUCACUGGGCGUAAAGGGUUCGCAGGCGGAAAUGCAAGUCAGAUGUAAAAGGCAGUAGCUUAACUACUGUAAGCAUUUGAAACUGCAUAUCUUGAGAAGAGUAGAGGUAAGUGGAAUUUUUAGUGUAGUGGUGAAAUGCGUAGAUAUUAAAAAGAAUACCGGUGGCGAAGGCGACUUACU